Molecule: long non-coding RNA, 748 nt
Organism: Carassius gibelio (silver crucian carp)
Lineage: Eukaryota; Metazoa; Chordata; Actinopteri; Cypriniformes; Cyprinidae
Exons: 3
Source: RefSeq, a predicted model, not a curated record
UAGAUGUUAAAAGCAAGAGACAUGGGAGAGCAUCAUUCCUUUGAGAUUUUAUAACUCAAACCAACUUUGGAGUUGUCUGAUUUGGAGAGUCAUUAUUCUUGGUCUUCGCUCUUAGAGGCCACUGAUGAAGAACAGGCGGUGACUGGAUGAAUCCUGGUCAGAGAGGAGAAUCUUCUUUCCCCUAAACAGCAGUGGUUUUAAAGGAGGACGCUGCCCUGGAUGAUGUAGAUGUCACAUGCUGUGCUGAUGGGGUUUCUUCAUGAUUACAUCAGUUAUGCUAAAGAGAUCAUGAAAAUUGACUGUGAUGCAUGAUCUGUAUUCAUGGACUAUGAAACAAACUGUAAGUGUAUAAUUUGUUUAAAAAAAAAAGUUAAAUGCUUUUUCUGUGUUGUUUAGUAGAAGAGUUUACACUCUGUCAUUCAUACACCUGCUCACAUUCUUUCACACACACACACACACACAUGCGUCUGUUAAAUGUUAUAAUAUCAAAGUUAAUGUUGUGAUUUAUUUGUGUACUGUCAUGCCAGAAUAGUUGGAAAAAAACCUAACUAAUUGUAAAUUUAUUGUAUGUGUUUUCGUAUAUUUUUAUACAAUUGAACAAAGUCCAAUUUGAUUUUAAGUUAUAUUCAUCAAAUGUUCAAUGCUUUAUGAACUCUGUAGCUGUUAAUGCCAUCCUUUUCUGCAUUUCUUCUAACAUGUUACUUUUUGACUUUUCUCUUGUUUUUAAUAAAUAUUUUCCUUUUGGUAA